RNAcentral lists this ribosomal RNA (343 nucleotides) under Mesomycoplasma ovipneumoniae. Its description in RNAcentral is "Mycoplasma ovipneumoniae partial 16S ribosomal RNA". It matches the Rfam family "Bacterial small subunit ribosomal RNA", at positions 63 to 397 of the family's 1533-position model. The record is from RNAcentral. Lineage: Bacteria; Bacillati; Mycoplasmatota; Mycoplasmoidales; Metamycoplasmataceae.
UGAACGGAAUAUGUUAGCUUGCUAAUAUAUUUAGUAGCAAAUGGGUGAGUAACACGUACCUAACCUACCUUUUGGACCGGGAUAACUAUUGGAAACAGCAGCUAAUACCGGAUAUAAUAAAAAAAUGCAUGUUUUUUUAUCAAAAGAAGCCUUUAAAGCUUCACCAAAAAAUGGGGGUGCGCAACAUUAGUUAGUUGGUAGGGUAAAGGCCCACCAAGACGAUGAUGUUUAGCGGGGCCAAGAGGCUGUACCGCCACACUGGGAUUGAGAUACGGCCCAGACUCCUACGGGAGGCAGCAGUAAGGAAUAUUCCACAAUGAGCGAAAGCUUGAUGGAGCGACAC